This is a non-coding RNA of Oryctolagus cuniculus (rabbit), 3735 nucleotides long. NCBI's taxonomy places the organism in Eukaryota, Metazoa, Chordata, Mammalia, Lagomorpha, Leporidae. The record is from RefSeq and is a predicted model, not a curated record.
GGACAGAGUGGAGAGGGCGCAUGUGAGGGAGAAGCUGAGGACAGAGUGGAGAGGGCGCAUGUGAGGGAGCAGCUGAGGACAGAGUGGAGAGGGUGCAUGGGAGGGAGCAGCUGAGGACAGAGUGGAGAGGGUGCAUGGGAGGGAGAAGCUGAGGACAGAGUGGAGAGGGCGCAUGUGAGGGAGAAGCUGAGGACAGAGUGGAGAGGGUGCAUGGGAGGGAGAAGCUGAGGACAGAGUGGAGAGGGCGCAUGUGAGGGAGAAGCUGAGGACAGAGCGGAGAGGGCGCAUGUGAGGGAGCAGCUGAGGACAGAGUGGAGAGGGCGCAUGUGAGGGAGAAGCUGCAGGGAAAACUGCAGUGGAAGGUCUUGGGAAAGUAGUGGAAAUGGCCUGCACCUGAUUGGACGAUGCCGAUGCACAGCAACAAGCGUGGAGCACAAACACCGCAAAGGACCCAGCAGCCUGUUCUGGCGAGCAAGGUGAGGUCGACCGCCCUGGCCCACAACACCGUUACAGCUGGAGGGAGAGCCUAGGAGACUGCACCGUGUUUGAGUCCGGCCAGGGAUGCUCAGAGGAGCUGGGCGACUGCUCACGCAGAGCGGGGAAAAAGUGGUGUGCUUGCCUCUCUACUUCUUUCCACACCAGCACCCUGUUUCUAGCUGCGAGAAGGCCAGCACCAUUCUGGACAUAAACAGGUAGCAGCUGCACCAGCUCUGCUGUGUGCACUCAGCAGGUAGUGGGGACUGUUGGCAGCGGCUGCCACAGCAGUUCAAGUCAGCCGGUGGGGUCUGACCCACCUUGUCAUCAGGGCAACAACACCAGCCCCACUGUGCCACUUGGCAAUGCGUGGGGACGGGGAGCCAUCCCCACUGAAAGGAAGUGCUGCCCAUGGGGACUGUUGUACCCGCCAGCACAAUUGUGAAGGAACCACAGGCCUGUGAUCCGGGGAUGUUACCAGAGGGGAAAAUCCAUAUUCCCCACAGACUUUGAGUCUGGCUGAGGGGAUCUGCCUCAACCUGCCCAAGCAAAACACACAUGGGCAGUGGCUCUGAGAACCUCUCAGUCUCUCUGUGGGUGAGACAGGUCAGUAGGAUGGAGUGGACUCUCUUGCACUUCUUGACUGUGGGAACCCUGUGUGUUGAGACCGUGGAAACACUGUGACUACAUGAGAAAGGGCAGGAUGUAGCUGGGGUUUCUGGGCAAGCUGUGGGUGCAGAGCCACACUCACAACUCCUUGGUUGCCAGGACAGCUCAUUGCAGCUGAAACUGUGCUCACAGGGAGGCCUGCACAGAUGAUUCACGUAGAUGAGUGCUGAACACACUGGGGACUAACACCAGGGCAUCGCUCAGCUUAAAGAAGAGGAGGUGAUGGAGUGAUCACACCAGCAGACAUAAACGACCAUACCCCCUUCUGUUGAUAAGAGGAGAGCUACCAGCACCAACUUGCGUGUCACCUUGGAUAUUUGCUCCACCCUGGAGCCCUGACAGAGCUCCCUGGACAUACCUACCACACACCUCUUGGUAUUCACUGAAAGCACAGAUAUUCCACUAAGCCACAGAGACACCGCUCAAAAAUAAAAGCCAUGGGGGUGGGGGACAACAAAAAUUAACUCCAUAAAUGCCUAAAAACAAAUGCAGAAAUUCAAGAAACAAGAAUAAGGAAGACACCAUGAGCCCCCCACCCAGCAAAGGAACACAAUAAAAUUUCAAUAUUAGAAUGUGAAGGUGAAGAGACAGAUGAAAUGCUGGAAAUGGAUUACUCAAAAGCAGUCAGAAGCAAAUCGACAAGCUAAAGAAAAGCAUAUGUGACAUGAGUGAAAAUUUUUCCCAUGGAAUUGAGAUUUUAAACAGAAAUCAAAAUGAAAUAUUAGAAAUAAAGAAAUCAGUAGAUAAAAUAAAAAAUGCAGUGGAAAGCCUCUACAGCAGACUCAGUGAGGCAGAAGAAAGAAUAUCCAAGCUAGAAGAUAAAUCUUUGGAAAACUUACAGUCAGACCAAAAAUAAAAAUUAAAAAAAGAAAAUGGAAAACUUAAGUGUUGGAGAUUUAUAGGAUGCUAUCAAACAACCCAACAUACUUGUCUUACGAGUUUCUGAAAGUGUGGAAACAGAGAAUGGGCCAGCAGGCCUAUUUAGUGAAAUGAUUACAGAAAACUCCCCCAAUUUGGAGAAAUAAAGGGACAUCCCAGUAAACACAUAGAACUCCUAACAGACAUGACCAGAAAAGAUCUUCACCACUUCACAUUGUAGUCAAACUCCACAAUAAAACAGAAAGAAAAGAUUCUGAAGUGUGCACAGGAGAAACUUCAGAUUACUUUCAGAGGAUCUCCAAUUAGACUUAACAGCUAAUUGCUCAUCAGAAAGUCUACAGGCUAGAAGGGAAUGGCGAGAUAUAUUCCAGGUCUUAAGAGAAAAAUCUUGUCAACCCAGAAUACUGUACCCUGCAAGCUCUCAUUUAUGAAUGAAAAUGAAAUAAAGACCUUCCAUAACAAACAGAAACUGUAAGAAUUUGUUGCCACUCAUCCAGCCCUACAAAAGAUGUGUACAGAUGUGCUACACACAGAAACACAAAAACACAGCCAUCAUUAUGAAAGAAUGACAAGGCAGAAGAUCCCCUGGUAGAAGUACAGAAGAAAUCCAAAGAAAACAAUAGGAAUAUUAAUGGGAAAAUGGCCGGGCCAAGUCGUUACUUGCCUCAACUUCACAAAAUUAACCUCUGUACUAUUUUCUAUAAACAUUAUAGUUUCAGUUUUCAUGUUUUGGUUUCAUAAUCUACCUUUUUUUUUUUUACUUGGAUAUGAUAUAAGGUAUCCAUUUGAUUUUUUUUCCAUGUGACUACUCAGUACUUUCAGUACCAUUUAUUGAAGUGUGUCUUAUCCAAUGAUAUGCACUAUCACCUUUGUCAUGAAUCUGGAGUCUUUGUAUGCAUUAGUCUGUUUCUGGGCUCCUGUUUUCCAUUGCUUUCUAUUCAUGUACCCAAGCUAACAACAUACUGCUUUAUUAUAGUAGCUUUAUAAGAGCAUGAAUAUAUGUUAGAGAAAAUAUUCCUCCCUUAUUCUUCCCUAAGAGCAUUUCCCAGCUCCUGGUUUAUGUUGGUAUGUCUGUGUGUCUAUAAUUUGAUGAGGGAUUGUUUAGUUUUCCCUCCCAUCGACUUUGCCCCUUCCUGGGAGAUUCUCACCAAUGCCAGUAAUAACAACCAAUGUGUUUUAACCUGGGCAAUCAUAUCCUCCAGAUUUUUCAUUCAUGGGUCUUGAGGACUGUUUUCCACAAGCAGGUCUAUCAGUUUCCACAAUGACUGACCAGGCUGCCAAAAUGAGUCUUUCACCUUGAAUAUUUUGAUUCACUUCCCAGAAAGCCACAGCAGAAACUUGACUUUAUGCCCAAUUUGCUGUGACAGUUUGUAUGCAAUUAAGCACAAAUGUGGCCGGCGCCGCGGCUCACUAGGCUAAUCCUCCGCCUUGCGGCGCCGAGACACCAGGUUCUAGUCCCGGUCAGGGCGCCGGAUUCUGUCCCGGUUUCCCCUCUUCCAGGCCAGCUCUCUGCUGUGGCCAGGGAGUGCAGUGGAGGAUGGCCCAAGUACUUGGGCCCUGCACCCCAUGGGACACCAGGAGAAGUACUUGGCUCCUGCCAUCGGAUCAGCGUGGUGCGGUGGCCAUUGGAGGGUGAACCAGCGGCAAAGGAAGACCUUUCUCUCUGUCUCUCUCUCUCACUGUCUAACUCUGCCUGUCGAAACGGAAUAACAA